RNAcentral lists this long non-coding RNA (521 nucleotides) under Struthio camelus australis. Its description in RNAcentral is "lncRNA (ENSSCUG00000002181.1)". Lineage: Eukaryota; Metazoa; Chordata; Aves; Struthioniformes; Struthionidae. The record is from RNAcentral.
AUCAGUCCAGGUGCCUCUGAAAAUCUUAUACUCGGAGGGAGCUGAAGGUGGCAGGAUCAUCAUUGCCUCAUCUGUAAGCGAAACUCCCGAACUCUUGCACAGAUCCCGUGAGGUCACAUCCAGCAGUUGCUCUGUAAUCUCCUGCCCGUGUCCUGAACGUUCCUGGCCUACUAAGCUUAUGAGAAGCUCCAUUCAUGGCAGAGCCUGUGCAUAAAAGAGGUGAUAGAUAUCUGUAUGUGUGAACUUGGAAGGGAAAAGGCAGGCUUGGGUUAUGGUCUUACCUUGGGAGAUGAAGGUAUGCGAUGCACUGAGAAGUGGGCUCCUGCAAAGCCGGUGUUGAAGGACAUCAGAGUUCAUUUGCAAGUUACACAUGCAGAUGUGGCUUACGUUGACUAAACCUCUCUGCGUUGGAGCGUCCUGGGAGAAUCUGAGCAGCUAUCCCAAAGGCAUCAAUGGAAAGGUACUCUCUAGAAGAGAUAGCCGAGCGUGAUAUUGGAAGUCAGUGUAACAAAUAGCGUAGG